RNAcentral lists this ribosomal RNA (143 nucleotides) under uncultured eukaryote. Its description in RNAcentral is "partial 18S ribosomal RNA". It matches the Rfam family "Eukaryotic small subunit ribosomal RNA", at positions 1299 to 1458 of the family's 1831-position model. The record is from RNAcentral.
UGGUGGAGCGAUUUGUCUGGUUAAUUCCAAUAACGAACGAGACUCUAGCCUACUAAAUAGUUCGGGGACCCCCACAAAGGGGCCCCGCUUCAACUUCUUAGAGGGACAGGUGGCGUUUAGCCACACGAGAUUGAGCAAUAACA